GUCUGCAACUCGACUACAUGAAGCUGGAAUCGCUAGUAAUCGCGGAUCAGAAUGCCGCGGUGAAUACGUUCCCGGGUCUUGUACACACCGCCCGUCACACCAUGGGAGUCAGUAACGCCCGAAGCCGGUGACCCAACCUAUUCUGGAGGGAGCCGUCGAAGGCGGGACGGAUGACUGGGGUGAAGUCGUAACAAGGUAUC
RNAcentral lists this ribosomal RNA (200 nucleotides) under uncultured bacterium. RNAcentral describes it as "partial 16S ribosomal RNA". It matches the Rfam family "Bacterial small subunit ribosomal RNA", at positions 1303 to 1500 of the family's 1533-position model. The record is from RNAcentral.